UACAGAGGGUGCAAGCGUUAAUCGGAAUUACUGGGCGUAAAGCGUGCGCAGGCGGUCCGCUAAGACAGAUGUGAAAUCCCCGGGCUUAACCUGGGAACUGCAUUUGUGACUGGCGGGCUAGAGUAUGGCAGAGGGGGGUAGAAUUCCACGUGUAGCAGUGAAAUGCGUAGAGAUGUGGAGGAAUACCGAUGGCGAAGGCAGCCCCCUGGGCCAAUACUGACGCUCAUGCACGAAAGCGUGGGGAGCAAACAGG
Molecule: ribosomal RNA, 253 nt
Filed under: uncultured bacterium
Lineage: Bacteria
Description: partial 16S ribosomal RNA
Rfam family: Bacterial small subunit ribosomal RNA
Source: RNAcentral